CCGACCUACUUCUUCGCCCGACCCCACUUGGGCCGACCUCCAUAUCAACCGCCCCCUGUCUUUGAUCAAAGGCCUCCGUGUUUGUCCGACUCCUCCUUCUAUCCGACCUACGGGUUACCCGACCUGCGGAUAUCCCAUCUCAACGACUUUCCGUCUCGAGGACCUCCCGACUUGAAAACCUUCCGACUUGAGGUCUUUCCGUCUUGCGGAUCUCCCGACCUGAAGACCGUCCGACUUGAGGUCUUUCAUCUUGAGGGCCUCCCGACCUGAAGACCUUCCGACUUGAGGUCUUUCCGUCUUGCGGAUCUCCCGACCUGAAGACCGUCCGACUUGAGGUCUUUCAUCUUGAGGGCCUCCCGACCUGAAGACCUUCCGACUUGAGGUCUUUCCGUCUUG
This is a long non-coding RNA of Andrographis paniculata, 396 nucleotides long. RefSeq lists it as uncharacterized. The transcript is spliced from 3 exons. Lineage: Eukaryota; Viridiplantae; Streptophyta; Magnoliopsida; Lamiales; Acanthaceae. The record is from RefSeq and is a predicted model, not a curated record.